AGGACAAACGCUGGCGGCGUACCUAAGACAUGCAAGUCGAACGGGGCUCACCGCUUCGGCGGGGAGUCGAGUGGCGGACGGGUGAGUAACGCGUAGGAACCUGUCGUGAAGUGGGGGAUAACGCUGGGAAACCGGCGCUAAUACCGCAUAGCAUCAGUGAUGAUGAAAGCCGGGUGCUCACGCAAGUGGGUGGCGCUUUAUGAGGGGCCUGCGUCCGAUUAGCUAGUUGGUGGGGUAAAGGCCUACCAAGGCAUCGAUCGGUAGCUGGUCUGAGAGGAUGGUCAGCCACACUGGGACUGAGACACGGCCCAGACUCCUACGGGAGGCAGCAGUUAGGAAAUUUUUUCCAAUGGGGGAAACCCUGAGAGAGUAACGCCGCGUGGAGGAUGACGGCCUUCGGUUGUAACUCCUUUCUGGGGACGAGUAGAAGACGGUACCCAGGAAGAAGCCUCGGCUACUACGCGCCAGCAGCCGC
Molecule: ribosomal RNA, 475 nt
Filed under: uncultured bacterium
Lineage: Bacteria
Description: SSU rRNA
Rfam family: Bacterial small subunit ribosomal RNA
Source: RNAcentral